GGUUGCGAGGAGAAGAGGGGAUUCGAGUGCAGCAGCUAGGGUUGGGGAGGAGAAGAGAGGGUUUUGGAAUGAUUUUAUAAGUAAGAUUUAGCAAUUGAUAUAUUGGUUGCUUAAUUGAUUGCUAAAAAAAGAUAUAAUUUAAAAUUAUUUUUUAAUUUAAAAUAUUUGUUAAAAUUAUUCUUAGUUAAUUUUAUUUAGAAUAAAUAAAGACACCAAUUUUUUUUUAGAAUUCAAAUUUGUGAUUGAUAUUUUGGUUGC
Molecule: long non-coding RNA, 258 nt
Filed under: Elaeis guineensis (African oil palm)
Lineage: Eukaryota; Viridiplantae; Streptophyta; Magnoliopsida; Arecales; Arecaceae
Description: long non-coding RNA (EGUI_LNC042045)
Source: RNAcentral